UCCCCUAGNAACGGCGAGUGAAGCGGGAUGAGCUCAAGCUUAAAAUCUCCGUGCACGUUGUGCGCGGCGAAUUGUAGUCUAUAGAGGCGUGAUCAGCGCGGGCGGCCGGGGUAAGUUCCUUGGAAGAGGACAGCAUGGAGGGUGAUACUCCCGUUUGUACCUGGGUGUUCUGCGCGUACGGUCCGUUUUCUUUGAGUCGCGUUGUUUGGGAAUGCAGCGCAAAGUAGGUGGUAAAUUCCAUCUAAAGCUAAAUAUUGGUGCGAGACCGAUAGCGAACAAGUACCGUGAGGGAAAGAUGAAAAGAACUUUGAAAAGAGAGUUAAAGAGUACCUGAAACUGCUGAAAGGGAACCGAAUCGUUUCCAGUGUCUAUAAUCUGCGGCAUAUUUCACGUGCGAGUGCGUGCGUUUCGGCUUUGUGGCAGCGGUCUUUUUUGGCUGCGCCCGUUGCUGUUUGUGCGUGCGCUUGCGUGUGCCCUGUGCCGCGGUGGGACGUCAAGGUCAGUUCGUAUGCUGCGGGAAAUGGCCGUCGGGGAGGUAGGUCUUAAGCUCCGCUUUUGGCUAUUAUAUCUCGGCGGUUGAGUCGUCGCGGUUGGGACUGAGGUGCCUACAGCGUGCUUUUGAGCGCGCGCGCGUCUCUGUGUGCGCGGUCUGCGGAUAGCUUGCUAUGCGUGGGUCGCUGCGUGCGGAUGGAUGUGCGCUGCUGCUUGUUGCCGUUCGGGACUUUGACGAAAUGGCGCGAUCCGACCCGUCUUGAAACACGGACCAAGGAGUCUAACACGCGUGCAAGUGUUCUGGUGUGGAAACCAGAGCGCGCAAUGAAAGUGAAGGGCGCCUUACGGCGUCUGAGGUAGGAAACCCUGUCUUCGGGCGGGGUGGCACUAUCGACCGAUCAUGAGCCUUCGUGGCGAAAGAUUUGAGUUUGAGCACGUGUGUUGGUACCCGAAAGAUGGUGAACUAUGCCUGAGUAGGGUGAAGCCAGGGGAAACUCUGGUGGAAGCUCGUAGCGAUUCUGACGUGCAAAUCGAUCGUCAAACUUGGGUAUAGGGGCGAAAGACUAAUCGAACCAUCUAGUAGCUGGUUCCCUCCGAAAUUUCCCUCAGGAUAGCAGCAACUUAUUUACGAUAGUUUUAUGAGGUAAAGCGAAUGAUUAGAGGAUUCGGGGAAGAAACUUCCUCGACCUAUUCUCAAACUUNAAAUCUGUAAGACCUGCAGGUUUCUUAAUUGAACUUGCGGAUGUGAAUAUCAAGUUGCUAGUGGGCCAUACGGGGUAAGCUCGUCUGGCGAUGCGGGAUGAACCGAACGCAAAGUUAAAGUGCCAAAAUGCCCGCUCACCUAGAUACCAUAAAAGGUGUUGGUUCAUUAGACAGC
RNAcentral lists this ribosomal RNA (1369 nucleotides) under Halophytophthora sp. Its description in RNAcentral is "partial large subunit ribosomal RNA". It matches the Rfam family "Eukaryotic large subunit ribosomal RNA", at positions 76 to 1241 of the family's 3401-position model. Lineage: Eukaryota; Oomycota; Peronosporomycetes; Peronosporales; Peronosporaceae. The record is from RNAcentral.